GACGAACGCUGGCGGCGUGCUUAACACAUGCAAGUCGAACGGAAAGGCCCGGCUUUUGUGGGGUGCUCGAGUGGCGAACGGGUGAGUAACAAGGGAGUAGUCUGGCCUGGACUUCGGGAUAACUUCAGGAAACUGGGGCUUAUACCCGAUAGGUGCUCCUGCUGCAUGGUGGGGGUUGGCAAGGUUCGGCGGUUGGGGAUGGACUCGCGGCGUAUCAGCUUGCUGGUGGGGUAGUGGCUUACCAAGGCAUUGACCGGUAGCCGGACGGAGGGGGUGACAGGACAGAUUGGGACUGAGAUGAGGCACAGACCCAUACGGGAGGGAGGAGUGGGGAAGAGUGCACAAUGGGAGGAAGCAUGAUGCAGCAAAGCCGCGUGCGGGAUGACGAGCAUCGGGUUGGUAACCGCUGUCGCAUGUGACGAGGCGUGAGUGACGGUAAUGGGUAAAGAAGCACCGGCUAACUACGUG
This 468-nucleotide ribosomal RNA is filed under the name uncultured bacterium. RNAcentral's name for it is "partial 16S ribosomal RNA". It matches the Rfam family "Bacterial small subunit ribosomal RNA", at positions 28 to 507 of the family's 1533-position model. The record is from RNAcentral.